GUAGGUGGCAAGCGUUGUCCGGAAUUAUUGGGCGUAAAGCGCGCGCAGGCGGUUCUUUAAGUCUGAUGUGAAAGCCCACGGCUCAACCGUGGAGGGUCAUUGGAAACUGGAGAACUUGAGUACAGAAGAGGAAAGCGGAAUUCCACGUGUAGCGGUGAAAUGCGUAGAGAUGUGGAGGAACACCAGUGGCGAAGGCGGCUUUCUGGUCUGUAACUGACGCUGAGGCGCGAAAGCGUGGGGAGCAAACAGGAUUAGAUACCCUGGUAGUCCACGCCGUAAACGAUGAGUGCUAAGUGUUAGGGGAUUUCCGCCCCUUAGUGCUGCAGCUAACGCAUUAAGCACUCCGCCUGGGAGUACGGCCGCAAGGCUG
RNAcentral lists this ribosomal RNA (370 nucleotides) under uncultured organism. Its description in RNAcentral is "partial 16S ribosomal RNA". It matches the Rfam family "Bacterial small subunit ribosomal RNA", at positions 527 to 896 of the family's 1533-position model. The record is from RNAcentral.